Long non-coding RNA from Vigna radiata var. radiata (mung bean), 716 nucleotides. RefSeq lists it as uncharacterized. The transcript has 5 exons. NCBI's taxonomy places the organism in Eukaryota, Viridiplantae, Streptophyta, Magnoliopsida, Fabales, Fabaceae. The record is from RefSeq and is a predicted model, not a curated record.
GGAAGUUCUUGAUUCGUAAAACCAAAAUACCCUAAAUCCCUCUUUUUUCUUGAUUCUCUCUUCAAUUUUGAAUUUGAAGAAGCAAUCAGUUUUGUGAACAAGAUAAAGGAGAAUCAGUUUUUCUGGUGGUUUUGCUGAUAUAGUUUACACUCUUUCUUUUAAACAAAAUUUUUAGGUUGCUACCCUCUUCAAGGACCAUCGAGAUUUGCUUGAGGAGUUCACUAGAUUCUUACCGUAUACCUCUGCUACACCUUCGACACAGUAUGCUCCAUAUAGUCAAAAUUCGUUGCAGCACUUUAAUGAGCAGAGUUCCACGACUCCAAUGAUGCGCCAAAUUCCACCAGACAGGGCAGCCAUAAGCGAUAGAACUGCUUGGAAUUGUCUGAUACAGAAGUUGGUAGCAAUGGACUACAGCAUUUAUCAGGACUGUCUAAUCUGCAGAAAAUAAAUCUUUCUUUUACCAUGGUUAGUGACGGUGGUUUAAGCAAAUUGUGUGGACUCUCAUCUCUGAAGUCCCUUAAUUUGGAUGCUUACCAAAUUUCUGACAUUGGGCUGUCAAACCUUACAAGUUUGACUGGCCUCACUGACCUGGAUUUGUUUGGUGCACGAAUCACAGAUUUUGGUACAAACUAUUUGAAAAAGUUUAAGAACCUGAGGUCUUUGGAAAUAUGUGGUGGAGCUUUNACUGAUGCUGGUGUAAAAAUAUCAAAGAGCUC